UGAACGCCGGCCGCAGCCCUAACACAUGCAAGGGGAGCGGGUGACGGCUUGCUUGCUCCUUGAUUCAGCGGCGGACGGGUGAGUAAUGUCUAGGAAUCUGCCUGAUGGAGGGGGAUAACUACUGGAAAGGAUAGCUAAUACCGCAUAACGUCCUACGGAACAAAGCAGGGGACCUUCGGGCCUCAUGCCAUCAGAUGAGCCCAGAUGGGAUUAGCUAGUAGGUGAGGUAAUGGCUCACCAAGGCGACGAUCCCUAACUGGUCUGAGAGGAUGAUCAGUCACACUGGAACUGAGACACGGUCCAGACUCCUACGGGAGGCAGCAGUGGGGAAUAUUGCACAAUGGGCGCAAGCCUGAUCCAGCCAUGCCGCGUGUAUGAAGAAGGUCUUCGGGUUGUAAAGCACUUUCAGCGGGGAGGAAGGUCAGUAAGUUAAAACCACAGCAAUUGACGUUACCCGCAGAAGAAGCACCGGCUAACUCCGUGCCAGCAGCCGCGGUAAUACAGAGGGUGCAAGCGUUAAUCGGAAUUACUGGGCGUAAAGCGCACGCAGGCGGUUCGUCAAGUCGGAUGUGAAAUCCCCGGGCUCAACCCGGGAACUGCAUCCAAAACUGGCAAGCUAGAGUACGGUAGAGGGGGGUGGAAUUUCAGGUGUAGCGGUGAAAUGCGUAGAGAUCUGGAGGAAUACCGGUGGCGAAGGCGGCCCCCUGGACAAAGACUGACGCUCAGGUGCGAAAGCGUGGGGAGCAAACAGGAUUAGAUACCCUGGUAGUCCACGCCGUAAACGAUGUCGACUUGGAGGUUGUGCCCUUGAGGCGUGGCUUCCGGAGCUAACGCGUUAAGUCGACCGCCUGGGGAGUACGGCCGCAAGGUUAAAACUCAAAUGAAUUGACGGGGGCCCGCACAAGCGGUGGAGCAUGUGGUUUAAUUCGAUGCAACGCGAAGAACCUUACCUGGUCUUGACAUCCACAGAACUUUCCAGAGAUGGAUUGGUGCCUUCGGGAACUGUGACACAGGUGCUGCAUGGCUGUCGUCAGCUCGUGUUGUGAAAUGUUGGGUUAAGUCCCGCAACGAGCGCAACCCUUAUCCUUUGUUGCCAGCGGUUCGGGCGGGAACUCAUAGGAAACUGGCAGUGAUAAACUGGAAGAAGGUGGGGAUGACGUCCAGUCAUCCUGGCCCUUACCACCAUGGCUACACACCUGCUACAAUGGCAUAUACCAAGAGAAGCGACCUCGCGAGAGCAAGCGGACCUCAUAAAGUAUGUCGUAGUCCGGACUGGAGUCUGCAACUCCACUCGACGAAAUCCGAAUCGCUAGUAAUCGUGGAUCAGAAUGCCACGGUGAAUACACUUCCCCGGGCCUUGGUACACACCCGGCCGUCACACCAUGGGGAGAUGUGGUUGCAAACGAAGUAUAGUAUGCGUCAACCUUCCGGAGAGGCGCUUACACCUUUGUGAAUUCUUGACUGGGUGA
This 1469-nucleotide ribosomal RNA is filed under the name Klebsiella sp. A4. RNAcentral's name for it is "bacterial SSU rRNA". It matches the Rfam family "Bacterial small subunit ribosomal RNA". The record is from RNAcentral. Lineage: Bacteria; Pseudomonadati; Pseudomonadota; Gammaproteobacteria; Enterobacterales; Enterobacteriaceae.